This 347-nucleotide long non-coding RNA is filed under the name Heterocephalus glaber (naked mole-rat). RNAcentral's name for it is "lncRNA (ENSHGLG00000050781.1)". Lineage: Eukaryota; Metazoa; Chordata; Mammalia; Rodentia; Bathyergidae. The record is from RNAcentral.
CCUGUAGAAUGGGAUACUACACUUCUGGAGAAUGGGCUGGCUACCUUUUCCCAGGAUUUCUACCCCCUCAAGAGAAGCAGAAAUGUUCCCUGUUCCAGGAACUAAGUGUUUCCCUGUCUUGAGAGCCCACACUACUUCUUCCACCCAUUAAGCUGGAUUUGAUCUCUGCUUUGCAAGAGAGGCCUUAUGGAAAAGAAGACUGCACUCAAAAUUGCUAAGCAUGGCACCCAGGUUCCAACCCUGGUUCUGCGGUUCCACCACUCCCAGCCCAGAGGAAGGGGCUUCUGGGCUGCCACUCCACUGCUCCCAGCCCAGAGGAGGUGAGCCGCAUGGGCACCAACAGCACC